CAGCUCCCAGGGGCAGGCCAGCCCAGGUGUCCCCCAGAGGGCUCAGGUCCUGCCUCUGCUACCCACAAGGAGUGUGACCUGGGACAAGCCAGUGAUGGUGUGUGAGGCUUGGUGUCCUCCGAGUCAUGCCCUGGGUUGCUGUGAGGGUUAGUGAGGCAGCUCACAGGAAGACCUUGGCCUUCUUCCCAGCCCAUAUUAAGUGCUUACUGAUAGCUGUCACUGUAACCAAGGAGCACAGGCACAUGCUCCUGUCUACUGCCGGCAGGAUGCCCCCCCCCCCCGAGAUUAUGUCUGGACACAAGCAUGGCACUCCUAAAAACAAAUAUAACACAGAGUGAUGAGUUCCUCAAAAGUAGUGUCUCUGUGCAUGGCUGGUAGGAACAAAAUGGGAUGGUCAUUUUUCUUUAAACACGAUAACUUAAUUUUGUUUAUUUACUUUUUAUGUGGUGCUGAGAAUUGAACCCAGUGCCUCACACGUGUGAGGCCAGUGCUCUACCCCUGAGCCACAACCCCAGCCCGGGAUGGUUAUUUUGAAAGAUAUUUGGCAGUUUGUUAUAAAAUUAAACAUACAAUCACCACAGAAUCGAGCAAUCCCACUUUUAGAUAUUUACCCAAGGGAACUGGACCUUGUGUCCACAUGAAAACCUGCACAUGGUCUUUGAUGCGGCUUCAUUCAUAAUUGCCAAAACAUGGACGUGACUGAGACGUCCUUCAUUAGGUGAGUGGAUCAACACACUGUGGCCGCUCCAGACCGCGGGAUUGCUCAGCCCUGAAAGGAAAUGUGCUGUCAAGGCAUGAAAAGACUCGGGAAUCUUAAGUGCAUACUCACUGAAAAUGGCCCGUCGGAGAAGGUUCCGUAUUAUGUGACUCCAGCAGUAUGACGUUUUGGACACAGUAGGACUGUGGGGACAGUGGUGACAGGAUCAGCGGCUCUAGAGGUUGAGGAGAAAGACUGAUGAACAGGUGGCACACAGGGACUUUAGAGCAGUGAAUCCACUCUGAAUGACAUAAGGGGACGCGGGUCAUCGGAUGUUUGUCCAUAUCCCUCAAGAGCGGACCCCAAGGCAAAGGCUGGAUACUUGGGGGCAAGUGUCAGUGUAGGUUCAUUGGUUAUAACAGGCACCACCGUGGUGAGAGACAUGGAUAACGGGGGGCUGUGCAUGUGUGGAGGUGGAGGGCCUUCCCCUGUGGUUGGCUGGGACCCUAAAACUGCUUCAAAAAAUAGAAUCUAUUAUUAAAACAAAACAAAACAAAACCAGGUAGCAUGGCUAUGCAGAAGCCCAGUCCUCAUUUCAGAUAACGAGGCCACAAAGCACUCACUCGAGCGCCGACCCUACCUGAGGACAGCCGCACCAGGCAUGGGGUGCAGCGGGACAUGCUCUGCACCCAGGAGCCCCUAACCCUGUGCAUGGUGACACCACUAACAGGCAGUCCAGCUCAGGGGUGGAGAGCAGCCAGGCAGCACCAGGAAGCAGGGAGCUCCUGGUCCAGCCUCUGAGGGUGAGACUGGGCUCUGAAGGGAGAAGGUACCAGGCAGACAGGAUACUUUUAGACGUAUGAUACAAUGAUGAGCCUCCCUGCUUGCUGAAUCCACAGAACUUACUCUCCUGUUCUCACCACACCACGUCAGGGUGAUGUGAACUCCAUGUUAUAGGUAAGGAGCACGCGAGAGAGCAAAUAAUGGGCCCAAGGCCACAUGGCCAUAAACCAGGCUCUCUAGGUCCUCAUUUUGUCACAAGACCCUGAGCCACUGACUUCUGAUAGUCACUGACUCAGGUGAGUGGAGUGGCCUGGGAUAGUUGACUGCUCCUCUCACCUCAGUUAACGUGUCUCUGAAAGGAGACCAAUGCCUGCUCUGUAAGACUGUGAUGAGAAUUCAGUGAUGAAAGGGAUUCGAAAGUUCUAGAUCUGCAUCUGCCACUGAGAGUGGAAUGUGGACCAUAAAGGUGACCACAUUUGGGGUUUUAGGUUUUCUAGGAACUAUAUUUUAAAAAGUAAGAAGUAGGUGAAGUUCAUUUUAAUUAUGUAUCUUAUAUUUAGUAAAAAAUAAUUUUUUAUUUAACAUAUAAAAAUUAUCAUUUAAACAUGUAAUCAAUAUAAAGUUUAUUUGCAAAUUCUCUUAA
Molecule: long non-coding RNA, 2123 nt
Filed under: Marmota monax (woodchuck)
Lineage: Eukaryota; Metazoa; Chordata; Mammalia; Rodentia; Sciuridae
Source: RNAcentral